RNAcentral lists this ribosomal RNA (489 nucleotides) under uncultured bacterium. Its description in RNAcentral is "partial 16S ribosomal RNA". It matches the Rfam family "Bacterial small subunit ribosomal RNA", at positions 28 to 507 of the family's 1533-position model. The record is from RNAcentral.
GAUGAACGCUAGCGGCAGGCUUAAUACAUGCAAGUCGAGGGGCAGCAGGACUUUAGCAAUACAGUUGCUGGCGACCGGCAAACGUGUGCGGAACACGUACGCAACCUACCCAAAACUGGGGGAUAGCCCGGGGAAACCCGGAUUAAUACCUCGUAACCUUUUUCAGUGGCAUCACUUGAUAAGUAUAGCUCUUGCGGUUUUGGAUGGGCGUGCGCCUGAUUAGGUAGUUGGUGCGGGUAACGGCCCCCCAACCCUGCGAUCAGUAACUGAUGUGAGAGAAGGACCAGUCACACGUGAGCCGAGACACGGGCCCGAAUCCUACGGGAGGCAGCAGUAAGGAAUAGUAGUGAAGGGACGCAAGUCGGAACCAGCCAUGCCGCGUGAAGGAUGAAGGGCCUCUGGAUAGUAAACUUCUUUUAUGGGGGAAGAAACCCGGAUAUUCUUAUCCGAUUGACGGUACCUAAGGAAUAAGCACCGGCUAACUCCGUG